Molecule: unclassified non-coding RNA, 235 nt
Filed under: Glomus sp.
Lineage: Eukaryota; Fungi; Glomeromycota; Glomeromycetes; Glomerales; Glomeraceae
Description: partial contains 5.8S ribosomal RNA and internal transcribed spacer 2
Source: RNAcentral
GUGAAUCAUCGAAUUUUUGAACGCAAAUUGAACUGUCUUCGGAGAGUAUGCCUGUUUGAGGGUCAGCCUAAAAAAAAAUUGACAUAGUCGCUGUUUCGCGGAGAAAUAUGUUGGAAAUUGGGUCAUUUUAAACCUUUGGGUUUUAAGAGGCUUAAAAUUCUUUUUACGUUUCAAGGAACGUUUCUAAGAUUUACUUCUUAUUCGUUUAAGGUAUCGAUCUUUAUUAGAUGUGGCG